UUCGGUCCCUAUCUGCCGUGGGCGCUGGAGAACUGAGGGGGGCUGCUCCUAGUACGAGAGGACCGGAGUGGCCGCAUCACUGGUGUUCGGGUUGUCAUGCCAAUGGCACUGCCCGGUAGCUAAAUGCGGAAGAGAUAAAUGCUGAAAGCAUCUAAGCACGAAACUUGCCCCGAGAUGAGUUCUCCCUGACUCCUUGAGAGUCCUGAAGGAACGUUGAAGACGACGACGUUGAUAGGCCGGGUGUGUAAGCGCAGCGAUGCGUUGAGCUAAGCGGUACUAAUGAACCGUGAGGCUUAACCUUACAACGCCGAAG
This 313-nucleotide ribosomal RNA is filed under the name Escherichia coli. RNAcentral's name for it is "bacterial LSU rRNA". It matches the Rfam family "Bacterial large subunit ribosomal RNA", at positions 2630 to 2925 of the family's 2925-position model. The record is from RNAcentral. Lineage: Bacteria; Pseudomonadati; Pseudomonadota; Gammaproteobacteria; Enterobacterales; Enterobacteriaceae.